UUGUAUUGUCAGGGGGCUUGGUUUCGGCCGGGCCCUGUCUGCACAUUACCCCUGUUUUUUGCGUACCUUCUUGUUUCCUCGGCAGGUUAGCCUGCCAGUAGGACCUUUUUUAAAACUCUUUUGUAUUAGCAAUCAGCGUCAGAAAAUUAUAAAUAGUUACAACUUUCAACAACGGAUCUCUUGGUUCU
Molecule: unclassified non-coding RNA, 188 nt
Filed under: rhizosphere metagenome
Description: partial ribosomal RNA internal transcribed spacer region
Source: RNAcentral